Molecule: ribosomal RNA, 373 nt
Filed under: uncultured organism
Description: bacterial SSU rRNA
Rfam family: Bacterial small subunit ribosomal RNA
Source: RNAcentral
CGUAGGGUCCAAGCGUUGUCCGGAUUUACUGGGCAUAAAGAGCGCGUAGGCGGCUCGUUAAGUGUGAAGUGAAAUCUCUAGGGCUCAACCCAGAAACUGCUUUACAUACUGGCGAGCUGGAGUGAUGCAGAGGUUUGUGGAAUUCCUGGUGUAACGGUGAAAUGUGUUGAUAUCAGGAGGAACACCCAUGGCGAAGGCAGCAAACUGGGCAUCAACUGACGCUGAGGCGCGAAAGCGUGGGUAGCAAACAGGAUUAGAUACCCUGGUAGUCCACGCCCUAAACGAUGGAUACUAGGCGUAAGAGGUAUCGACCCCUCUUGUGCCGCAGCUAACGCAUUAAGUAUCCCGCCUGGGGAGUACGGCCGCAAGGUUG